AGAAAGUAUACAUUUUUACCAUGUAAUUCCAUUACUCCCAAGAGCUCACAUUUGAUUAGAUAGUCCACAUGCAAUAAUCCAAAAGCAAGGCAAGAGAAAGAAUAAGAUACUUGGGUAUUGAGAAUGGGUCAUGAUGAACAAAGGGAAAAGGGAAGAGAUCAAACUCAAGGUUACUUCCAAUUGUUUCUAUUUGUGAUGGGUGUGAGUACCUUAGGUAUGCAUGGGUUAACUCUUUGAUGAUGGGGAAUCAAUGAAAUGAGGUUGAUAUUUAUGAUGAUUGAGGUGAGAGAGAGAAAGACAAGUUGAAGGGUGG
RNAcentral lists this long non-coding RNA (313 nucleotides) under Trifolium pratense (red clover). RNAcentral's name for it is "long non-coding RNA (TPRA_LNC011124)". The record is from RNAcentral. Lineage: Eukaryota; Viridiplantae; Streptophyta; Magnoliopsida; Fabales; Fabaceae.